Molecule: long non-coding RNA, 1285 nt
Organism: Mauremys reevesii (Reeves's turtle)
Lineage: Eukaryota; Metazoa; Chordata; Testudines; Geoemydidae
Exons: 3
Source: RefSeq, a predicted model, not a curated record
UUUGCCAUCUUCGAGGCAAGGUGUAAGACUCCUCCCUCUACAGUAACUACAGAAUGGUCCUGCAAUGUUUCCCCUUGAAAUACACAACAGGUCUUCCUUACUGAGGUGGCAUAAAAUGAAGGAGCUGUAGGGAGCAAUGUUCUGACAGACAAGGACACCUUACUCUUAUUGUUGUAUACAGAGCCUAGAACCUGCUGUGAUAGGUGCAUUACAAAGCCAGACAGACCACAUUAGCACCACCACUACAUAGCUAUACCAGUUUCUGCAUGAGCAGACCAGCUUAGAGUUAGAACAUUUUCUGGAUGCAGGCAAUAUCCUCCAUAGUGCAUCAAUCUCUUCUGCUCAAAGACCUGCAUCUGAGUGCCUUCGUGAAGUGUGUGUGAACAAAGGAAGCCUGCCAUGUCCCAUUAAACUGGACGCCAUCUCUGUGAAAUGUCGCCACACGCUGAAGGUCAAGACUCUUACUGUGUUGGACAACAAACUCUUUAACAUUACCCUCUGGAAAUCAGAUGAGAGAGAAGACAGGAGCAGUUCUCAAGAACGGAAGUACCAUCUGUAUUCUUCCCAUCCAACCCGUUUUUCUUUGUUUGACAGAAAAAGCUGAUGUGAAGAAUCUGAACUGUCUGCUCAAACAAAAUUGUUUAUCUUCUGAACUAACUGUACAGCUACUACCAUUUUCUUCUUUAUAACAUAGGAAAACCUUAUGGCUGGGCAUCCCACACAAAAAAAGAAUAAUUUUAAUGCAAGCCAAUGUUCUACAAACAAAAACAAUCCCUCCCAAAAAACCACAUGCAGCAGAAUAAAGCAAGUUCCGACAGAAAUUGUACUCCCCCCACUUCACUAGAUCUCAUUUACUGCUCCAACAUUCGUCCUUUGAUUGGAGAUGUUGCUGCAUUACAGCUGCUGAUUCUGCACGACAGCAUCUUUGUAGAUCUUGCUCUGAAUGAAGGAAUGUACAUAAGUUUUGGCACAGUUUUGCCACCAUAGUUGCUUUGCAUUGCUAUUCUGAAAAUAAUACUGAACAGAUGGAAUCUACUGCCAUUUUGCACAGCUCCAGUGGAGGAGUGUGAGAGAGACAACAGGAGUUGCAAAAUAAAUUAUUGUUCAACUGAUUUACAAGAAGAAUAUGGGGUCUUCCAGCAUGCAUAUGAAAAAGGCCCUACACAAAAACUACCUAUAUUUAGGGGUAUUAUUUGUAUGCAUAAGAAGAAUAUUCCAGUUAGUGUAGCGUUACAGCAUGACCAGCAAGACUUCCAAAUAUCGUCACACAUUCCUUUGUGUGAGA